Non-coding RNA from Centaurea solstitialis (yellow star-thistle), 72 nucleotides. The record is from the annotation of a GenBank genome assembly. Lineage: Eukaryota; Viridiplantae; Streptophyta; Magnoliopsida; Asterales; Asteraceae.
GUGACUGUAGUUUAGUGAUAAGAAUUCCACGUUGUGGCCGUGGAGAUUUGGGCUUGAAUCCCAGUAAUCACA